Molecule: ribosomal RNA, 468 nt
Filed under: uncultured bacterium
Lineage: Bacteria
Description: partial 16S ribosomal RNA
Rfam family: Bacterial small subunit ribosomal RNA
Source: RNAcentral
GACGAACGCUGGCGGCGUGCUUAACACAUGCAAGUCGAACGGAAAGGCCCUGCUUUUGUGGGGUGCUCGAGUGGCGAACGGGUGAGUAACACGUGAGUAACCUGCCCUUGACUUUGGGAUAACUUCAGGAAACUGGGGCUAAUACCGGAUAGGAGCUCCUGCUGCAUGGUGGGGGUUGGAAAGUUUCGGCGGUUGGGGAUGGACUCGCGGCGUAUCAGCUUGUUGGUGGGGUAGUGGCUUACCAAGGCUUGGACGGGUAGCCGGCCUGAGAGGGUGACCGGCCACAUUGGGACUGAGAUACGGCCCAGACUCCUACGGGAGGCAGCAGUGGGGAAUAUUGCACAAUGGGCGGAAGCCUGAUGCAGCAACGCCGCGUGCGGGAUGACGGCCUUCGGGCUGUAAACCGCUUUCGCCUGUGACGAAGCGUGAGUGACGGUAAUGGGUAAAGAAGCACCGGCUAACUACGUG